UUGCCUAAGGCAUCCUUACUUGAGGUUCAACGCAGAUUGGAGAGACAACAAAUCCAGAAAAGUUAAUAAACGGUUGAAGUUCUUUUCCUUGGAAGAAAAAUACUGAAAAUGAUUUGAAUUUUCUGCUUGAUUUCAAGUUUAAUUCCCUUGUGAAAAGUCAGAUUUUAAAAGGUUCAGUAGAAAUUGUGUAUUUGGGGUUCUGAAUAUCAGAAUUUUGUUUGAAAAUAUGAGGCUUGAUUUGCUGAUUCUGUUACUGUUUCAUUGCUGGGUUAAGUUGAUUUCUGCUACUGUUUAUUGUUGAUUCUUCACCUCUCUUGUUUUCCUUGUUCAUUACUAGGUAUUACUUCAAAGCAUUGUCAACGAGUGACUAGGAACAUGUAUUUCGAGUUGAGGCCUGACUGAAUACAAGUUGUUUUGGAUUUCCCUUCAUUUGUUUUUUCUACUUCUUUAAAAUAUUCUGUAAUAGACCCUAUAUUGUACAUGUUAGCUUACUUAUCUUAUGUCAUUGAUGUGUUGUAGAAGUGAACCUAUUUGGGGUGUUAAUUUUCCUUCUUCUUUUGGUUUGGUUCGAGUGAAUGGGGCUAAUUUCCUAGAUCUCGUCACUUUCAAUAUUGAGAAAGAGUUAAUUGGUUUGAAGUUUCAUGCUGUGUUUGUAAGUUUAGCAUAAGUUUGAAUCCAAGCAUGAAUAUUUGUUAGUUUGAAGUCGAGCAUGCUUAGUAGUACUCAAAGUUUCCUGGUGUAUUAAUUAU
RNAcentral lists this long non-coding RNA (749 nucleotides) under Nicotiana benthamiana. RNAcentral describes it as "long non-coding RNA (NBEN_LNC009902)". Lineage: Eukaryota; Viridiplantae; Streptophyta; Magnoliopsida; Solanales; Solanaceae. The record is from RNAcentral.